GUAGGUGGCAAGCGUUGUCCGGAAUUAUUGGGCGUAAAGCGCGCGCAGGCGGUUCUUUAAGUCUGAUGUGAAAGCCCACGGCUCAACCGUGGAGGGUCAUUGGAAACUGGAGAACUUGAGUACAGAAGAGGAAAGCGGAAUUCCACGUGUAGCGGUGAAAUGCGUAGAGAUGUGGAGGAACACCAGUGGCGAAGGCGGCUUUCUGGUCUGUAACUGACGCUGAGGCGCGAAAGCGUGGGGAGCAAACAGGAUUAGAUACCCUGGUAGUCCACGCCGUAAACGAUGAGUGGUAAGUGUUAGGGGGUUUCCGCCCCCUUAGUGCUGCAGCUAACGCAUUAAGCACUCCGCCUGGGGAGUACGGCCGCAAGGCUG
Molecule: ribosomal RNA, 372 nt
Filed under: uncultured organism
Description: partial 16S ribosomal RNA
Rfam family: Bacterial small subunit ribosomal RNA
Source: RNAcentral